Molecule: transfer RNA, 73 nt
Filed under: Camelus bactrianus (Bactrian camel)
Lineage: Eukaryota; Metazoa; Chordata; Mammalia; Artiodactyla; Camelidae
Also listed under: 3 other names
Rfam family: tRNA
About the family: Transfer RNA (tRNA) molecules are approximately 80 nucleotides in length. Their secondary structure includes four short double-helical elements and three loops (D, anti-codon, and T loops). Further hydrogen bonds mediate the characteristic L-shaped molecular structure. tRNAs have two regions of fundamental functional importance: the anti-codon, which is responsible for specific mRNA codon recognition, and the 3' end, to which the tRNAs corresponding amino acid is attached (by aminoacyl-tRNA synthetases). tRNAs cope with the degeneracy of the genetic code in two manners: having more than one tRNA (with a specific anti-codon) for a particular amino acid; and 'wobble' base-pairing, i.e. permitting non-standard base-pairing at the 3rd anti-codon position.
Source: Rfam by way of RNAcentral
GUGGGUAUAGCUCAGUGGUAGAGCACAUGCUUAGCAUGCACAAAGUCCUGGGUUCAAUUCCCCAGUACCUCCA